CUGAAGAGAGACCUGGAGGAGGAAGAGGAGCCUUGAGGAAGAAGAAAUGAGCCAGAGAAACACCAAGAGGAACAAAACAAGGAAGAGUUGCUGCUGUAAAAGAUCUGCUGUGAGAUCCGUAGCACACAGUCCUCCACCAGCGUAAGGAUCAAUGGGACUGCACUGGAUGAGGAGGAAGACUGGACCCAUUUCAUCACCACUGGACAUUCCACAAGACCAGCUCUACUCCACAGAACCACAUCUGUUACUCCAGGAGGACUUAUUUGUACUGCUUCCAACACCCUGAGCAACAGGGUGCCAGGUCUUAUCACUGACUCUGUCAGGGUUUUCCAGGAUUUUUGUUUGCUACCCUGCUUGUGUUUUUGUACUACUACAUUUGUAUUUUCCUUUUUUUAAA
Molecule: long non-coding RNA, 397 nt
Organism: Hirundo rustica (Barn swallow)
Lineage: Eukaryota; Metazoa; Chordata; Aves; Passeriformes; Hirundinidae
Exons: 3
Source: RefSeq, a predicted model, not a curated record